CCCGUUUCCCCCCUUUCCCUCUCUUUGCCUUCGUGUCUCCCUUCGCUCCUUUCCUCUCUUUCUCUCUCUUUGCCUUCUUCCUUCCCUUCUUUUUCCUCUUUCCCUCUGUUUGCCUUCCUCUCUCCCUUCCUUUGCCCCUUUCCUCUCUUUUCCCUCUCCUUGCCUUCUUCUUUCCCCUCUUUUGCCCCUUUCCCCCCUCUUUGCCUUCGUGUCUCCCUUCCUUUGCCCCUUUCCUCUCUUUUCCCUCUCCUUGCCUUCUUCUUUCCCCUCCUUUGCCCCUUUCCCCCCUCUUUGCCUUCCUGUCUCCCUUCCUUUGCCCCUUUCCUCUCUUUUCCCUCUCCUUGCCUUCUUCUUUCCCCUCCUUUGCCCCUUUCCCCCCUCUUUGCCUUCCUGUCUCCCUUCCUUUGCCCCUUUCCUCUCUUUUCCCUCUCCUUGCCUUCUUCUUUCCCCUCCUUUGCCCCUUUCCCCCCUCUUUGCCUUCCUGUCUCCCUUCUUUUGCCCCUUUCCUCUCUUUUCCCUCUCCUUGCCUUCUUCUUUCCCCUCUUUUGCCCCUUUCCCCCCUCUUUGCCUUCCUGUCUCCCUUCCUUUGCCCCUUUCCUCUCUUUUCUCUCUGCUUGCCUUCGUCUUUCCCUUCCGUUGCCCCUUUCCCCCUCUUUGCCUUCCUCUCUCCCUUCCUUUGCCCCUUUCCCCCGUCCCCUCUCUUUGCCUUCGUCUUUCCCUUCCUUAACCCGUUUCCGCCCUUUCCCUCUAAUUGCCUUCUUCUUUUCCUUCCUUUGCCCCUUCCCCCCUUUUUCCCUCUCUUUGCCUCUUUCCCCCUCUUUGCCUUCCUCUUCCCCUUCCUUUGCCCCGUUCCUCCCUUUUCCCUCUUUUUGCCUUCCUCUCUCCUUUCCUUUGCCCCUUUCCCCCUCUUUGCCUUCCUCUCUCCCUUCCUUUGCCCCUUUCCUCCCUUUUCCCUCUUUUUGCCUCCCUCUCUCCUUUCCUUUGCCCUUUCUCUCCCUCCUUUGCCUUCCUCUCUCUCCCCCCUUUUCUCCUCUCCCCUCUCUUUGCCAUUCUCCCUUCAUGCAUUCAAUCGUAUUUAUUGAGCGCUUACCGUGUGCAAAGCACUGUACUAAGCGCUUGGGAGAGGACAAUGUAACAACAGACACAUUCCAGCCCACAACGAGGUCACCUUUUCCCCUCCCCUCUCUACUUUCCUCUCUUCCUUCCUUUGCCCUUUUCCUCCCCUCUCUUUGCCUUCCUCUCUCUCCCCCCUUUUGCCCCUUUCCCCUCGCCCCCCUUUUCCUUUCACUCUCCCCUCCUUUUCCCCUUUCCCCUCCUUCCCUCUCUUUUCCUUCCUGUCCCUCUCUCACCUCCUUCCCACCCUCCCCUCUCUUUUCUUCCCUUUCUCCCCUUCUUUUACUCAUUCCCCUCCUUCCCACUCUUUUCUUUACUCUCUCCCCUCCUCUGCCCCUUUACCCAACUCCCCUCUCCUUUCCCUCCUCUCAGAUGGUCAUGGGUUGUAAUCUCGGCCCUGCCAACUGUCUGCUGUGUGGCCUUGGGCAAGUCACUUAA
Molecule: long non-coding RNA, 1551 nt
Filed under: Ornithorhynchus anatinus (platypus)
Lineage: Eukaryota; Metazoa; Chordata; Mammalia; Monotremata; Ornithorhynchidae
Description: lncRNA (ENSOANG00000041627.1)
Source: RNAcentral